Molecule: RNA transcript, 1336 nt
Organism: Solanum dulcamara
Lineage: Eukaryota; Viridiplantae; Streptophyta; Magnoliopsida; Solanales; Solanaceae
Exons: 11
Source: RefSeq, a predicted model, not a curated record
UUUUAUUAGAAGUCUUCACAUCGGCUAGUCCGCACUCCGAAAAAAUCGUGUUUGCUUUUCCCUCUUCCCAACUCCUUCAAGAAUGAGAACCAAAUCUGUAGUUGCAGCGGGUUUCUUCCUGCUGUUGAUCCUUACGACGUCUCGUGGUUUCCAGUCCGACGAGCUUCUUGCCGACGACGAGGAGUUUGGUCUCGAAGGUGGAAUCCGAUCCCGAACCGAUCCCAAUAACGUCAACUCAGCAACACCUCAGUCGACCCGGAGGAGGUUGGUCCCCGAUUCAGAUUCAAAGAUCCAGUUCCCUCUGGAACAUGCCUUUGGUGAUUCCGACUUCUCCCCUGCCGGCACCUUUACUGCUCGCCUCAAAUCUUCUUCUCAUGGUUCCCAGAUGCAAACGCUGACAAAGCUUCGCUUCUCCAGAAAUGCUUUUACUGGAACAGAGAAGGAGGGUUUCAAAAAACUCUUGAAAGGUGAUGACUUUUACAGAAUAAGAGUACCAUCCAACAUAUUGAACCUUCCUGGCAGAGAAUACGUUGUUUCCUCAGUGAAAGCACGGUGUCUUCCUCGGGAUGGUUUGGAGGAGCACUUUGUCAUACAUAUGGUCGGUGUGAAUAUUUUGGCUGUUAAUUAUGGUUCCCCUGGUGCAUGCCAGCACCCUCGUCAAUUGAAGUUUCCUGCAAAAUGGUCCUUUAACUCGCAUACAGUCCUAAAACCUACUGAGCAGGCACCCAGAACACCUAUAUUUUCAGAAGCUGUAGUUGGAGAGAAUGCAGAGGGCGACGAAGUGCACCCUCCAGAGAGAUCUUUUUGGGCUAAAUAUUGGAUGUAUUUGAUCCCUCUCGGACUCAUUGUUAUGAAUGCUAUGACCCAAGCAAUGAACAUGGCUGAAGAACAGACUAGUGGACAAGCAGGGGCUCAAGGACAACAGGCAAUUGGGGCUCAACGUGCACAAAAUACUGUAGUACGAAGAAGAUGAUAGCAUUGGGCAUUGCUUGAGGGGUGAUUUUCAAUCGUUUUGGGACCCCACGUGGCUAGUUGAUCAUUGAAGGCUACUACUUUGGGGUUGAGGAUCACAUUCCCACACGUGGCUAGUUGAGAUUCCAUAUCAGUGGAGUUUUGGUGAGUCCUCAUCUAUCGAGGACUAGUUAUGAGUUGUUUCCUUUCUAAAGACUUUGUUAUAUUCUUAUUGAUGGUGAGCUAGGGACAUGUCUUAGCCCUCUCCCAUCUUAAAUAGUGAAAGCAUUGUUGGACAUAUGUUGUAGAGUCUAUAUAGUCAAGUUUACAUCUCUUUUAUGAUCAUGUUUUAGACUCUUCCUAUGUUAUUUUCAUAUUUAUUUUA